RNAcentral lists this long non-coding RNA (179 nucleotides) under Ictidomys tridecemlineatus (thirteen-lined ground squirrel). RNAcentral's name for it is "lncRNA (ENSSTOG00000034565.1)". The record is from RNAcentral. Lineage: Eukaryota; Metazoa; Chordata; Mammalia; Rodentia; Sciuridae.
UAAAAACAUGCUGACUUUCACCCACUCUCGGGGCGCUUGCUCGUGGGGCAGCCAGCACCAGGUUGUGAGCACACUGGGGCAGCUGACGGCCAGGUCCUUGCCGGGAGGUCCGAGCCAGGACUUUUGAAAGUGGACAGGCCACAUGUUCACGUCCUCAGAACGAACGCAGCACAGGAAAU